This 514-nucleotide ribosomal RNA is filed under the name Eurycantha insularis. RNAcentral describes it as "partial 16S ribosomal RNA". It matches the Rfam family "Bacterial large subunit ribosomal RNA", at positions 1810 to 2600 of the family's 2925-position model. Lineage: Eukaryota; Metazoa; Arthropoda; Insecta; Phasmatodea; Phasmatidae. The record is from RNAcentral.
AAAACAUCUUCUCUUGAUUUAUUAAUUUGAGAUAGUUCCUGCCCAAUGAUUUAUUUAAUGGCCGCGGUAUUUUGACCGUGCAAAGGUAGCAUAAUCAUUAGCUUAAUAAUUGUAAGCUUGUAUGAAUGGUAUGACGAAACAUUAACUGUCUCUUUAUAAUUAUAUAAUUUAAAUUUUGAGUUAAAAUGCUUAAAUUUUAUUAUUGGACGAGAAGACCCUAUAGAUCUUUAUUAUAUUUUAUUUUAAAUUUUUUAGUUUGUUUUUUUAUAAUUUAUUUUAUAAUUUUGUUGGGGUGACAUGGAGAUAUAAUAAACUCAUUAUUUAAAUUUACAUUGAUAUAUGAAUAAUUGACCUUAUUUUAUUGUUAAAAGAUUUAGAUACCUUAGGGAUAACAGCGUAAUUUUAUUUAAGAGUUCAUAUUGACAAUAAAGAUUGCGACCUCGAUGUUGAAUUAAGAUAAUAUUUUGGUGUAGCAGCUAUAAUAAUAGGUCUGUUCGACCUUUAAAUUCUUACA